AUUGCAAAGAGAAAUGAUAUUUGUACAACUAUUUUCUAACAACUUUUUGACAACUUUCUCUCUCAGACUCACAUUAUCUUCUUAUUCCCUCUCUUCCUUUUUCUCUCUCUCUCUCUCUCUCUAUUAUUUUUGACCAAUCAAAAGAGAGAAAACCAAAGUUGUCAUGAAAGUUGUACCAAAGAGUUGUACAUAUAUCACUACUCUAUUGCAAA
Molecule: microRNA precursor, 212 nt
Filed under: Medicago truncatula (barrel medic)
Lineage: Eukaryota; Viridiplantae; Streptophyta; Magnoliopsida; Fabales; Fabaceae
Description: miR2608 stem-loop (mtr-MIR2608)
Source: miRBase by way of RNAcentral